CCCGACAGCCGGGUACAAACCCGCUACGCACUUGGGGUUUGUAAAUGGUCGGAUCGGGUUUACUUAGUGGUGCGGCUCGAUAUAUAUAUUCGAGGGUGAGUGUUUGGAAGAAGUCUUGGGAUCUUCGGCGUCGAAGGGUAAGGAGCGGCGGCGGCGGCGAGGCAUGGGCGAGCUUCGGCUGGGCUGGUACCGCCUGCAGCUGCAACUGUGCCUCCACCGGCGCCCGCGCGUCGGCUUCUUCUCCUGCAAGGCGUUCAAGUCGAUGGCACCGCACCUAGAGCUACGGGAGGAGCUGUACAGGUGACUGCUGGAACAGGUCUACAAGGGGCGAGCGCGGGCGUCUUCCAAGUUCUCCCCAGAGUUCUCCUUCGGGUACCGCGAGCAGUUCUUCGACGCGUUCCGCUUUUUCCUACGAGGACGACCACUCUUCGGACUCGGUCACUCCUGUGUAGAGGCGUUGUACUAGUAACAGGGACUCUACUAACCGUCGGAAUAGCCACAGAUGUUACCGUUCUGGAAGUUGGUCCAACUCUAAUUCGGACUCUACUAACCGGUAAUGGAACGUCUCAAGAGAUAGAGGAUGUUCGGUCACUUCGUGCCAUCCGGGCCAUAGCCACGGUGUGUGAGAAGGGCCAAGUAGGGAGAAUUUACUCAACACGGCGAAAGAUGAAACUUUCUUUAGUCAUGCCUGGUAGACUACCGUACAGGUAGCUCGACAGAGGGAACAAAACUUGGUCAAUAUAUAGAUCAUAAACCAAGACAAAUCGAUAUAUUAAAGCAAUACGUGUUACUCGACAAGAUAGAUUUACGACACUCUUAGAAUAAAGGCAACACUUCCAAGUAAAACUAAGUACGGCACGAACAGACAAACACUCUGAAAAUAAUAUUUUACGUGUGAGUAAACCGGACGGGUAGUGGUGAGUUUUACCGGUAGACUACCGUUGUUGUGC
This 950-nucleotide ribosomal RNA is filed under the name Triticum aestivum (bread wheat). RNAcentral describes it as "partial small subunit ribosomal RNA". The record is from RNAcentral. Lineage: Eukaryota; Viridiplantae; Streptophyta; Magnoliopsida; Poales; Poaceae.